AAAACCAAGCAGGUGCCUUCGAAUCGACGGCUCAUCUCCUCAGUGUGUAACAGAUGGCCUCACUCAUCGCCUCAGCUCCAUGGAAGUACGACGUCUUCUUGAGCAGCUCAAGCCAGGACGCAGGCAACUUUUCAUAUCUUCUACACAAGGCUUUGAAGGAUGAAGGAAUUCUCACUCUCAGAGACAGCCAAGAGGUUGAGGGAGCAGAAAGCACAGCUUCCCUGGAGGUCGGAAUCAGACUCGAAGGUCGCCCUAGUUAUUAUCUCGCCGGACUUCCUCCCCUCGGCUCUUGGAACAACUUGUGCAGAUUCUUGAAGCAAACAGGGAUUCAAGUAGUCUCAUCUUCCCAGGCUUUCACCUUGUCGACCCCUCAGAUGUCCGAAAACAAAAAGGAACUAUUGGAGCAAGCUUCGCCAAGCAUGAACAAGAACAAGACUCGGACAAGGUUAAACGUUGGAGGGCUUCUUUGACAUCCGUGGCAAGUUUAACUGGAUGGCAUACUGAAUCUCAUAAGGAUCAAACAGCGCUUACAAUGAUAUCGUGCAAUCUUUAAAACGAUGUAUCCUCAGGAAGGAAACGGAGAAUAUUAUUGAGCAAUCUGUAGACGAGGUCAGCACCAAUACCAGUGUUGAGGAGAAGAUUAUUGAGCAACCAGUAGACGAGGUCAGCAGGAAUACCAGUGUCAAGGACAAGAUCAUCACCGUUAACCAUGAGGAGCAAAAGGCCACAGUGGAUGCUACUUCAUCAGCAGAAUGGAACUUCUUACUCUUUACCCUCAUCCUCGUGAUUCUUUCUGCUGGUUUCGAUCAAGCUUCUUCGCCAAGCAAACCGCACUAUGCAUUAAUUGCAAUGCUGCUUGCUGCUGCAGCUGUAUUCACUUGCAUUUGGGAGCUGAUUCAAAGGAAAAGCCUAGUACUGAAGAGCUGGAAAAAACUACACUGUAUAUCUUAUCCACAUCUUUCGGACACUUUCUUCGAAAGUCACUUAGACACAUACGGAUUAGUCAGUAGCAUCUAUCAAUGCGUUUUCUCCACAGUUCAGUAUAUUUACUUCUUUUACAAUGCUAAUAGUCCUAUCAGAUUAUGCGCCUUACCUGCCCUCUAUCUCAUGUGUUUGGCUGGUUCAAGACUAUGGAAGAAGUACCAUAAGAGUAAACCACUACCUGUCUAGCUAGCUAGCUAGACUUCGGCAAAAGGUUUGCAAAGCUAAUAAGACCCUUGAAUGGGAUCGAUAAUUGUGAGUAAUUAAGAAAUUAUGAGAAAGUUUCUUCUUUCAAAA
RNA transcript from Fragaria vesca subsp. vesca, 1278 nucleotides. RefSeq lists it as uncharacterized. The record is from RefSeq and is a predicted model, not a curated record. The transcript is spliced from 4 exons. Lineage: Eukaryota; Viridiplantae; Streptophyta; Magnoliopsida; Rosales; Rosaceae.